RNAcentral lists this ribosomal RNA (427 nucleotides) under uncultured bacterium. RNAcentral describes it as "partial 16S ribosomal RNA". It matches the Rfam family "Bacterial small subunit ribosomal RNA", at positions 354 to 796 of the family's 1533-position model. The record is from RNAcentral.
GUGGGGAAUAUUGGGCAAUGGGGGAAACCCUGACCCAGCGACGCCGCGUGAGGGAAGAAGGCCUUAGGGUCGUAAACCUCUGUUGUGUGGGAAGAAGAGCGUGACGGUACCACACGAGGAAGUCCCGGCUAACUACGUGCCAGCAGCCGCGGUAAUACGUAGGGGACGAGCGUUGUCCGGAUUUACUGGGCGUAAAGGGCGCGUAGGCGGUCAUUUAAGUCAGCUGUGAAAUGGUUUGGCUUAACCGGAUCAUGCGGUUGAAACUGGAUGGCUGGAGUGCUGGAGAGGCAAGUGGAAUUCCCAGUGUAGCGGUGAAAUGCGUAGAUAUUGGGAAGAACACCGGUGGCGAAGGCGACUUGCUGGCCAGCAACUGACGCUGAGGCGCGAAAGCCAGGGGAGCAAACGGGAUUAGAAACCCCGGUAGUCC